Molecule: ribosomal RNA, 206 nt
Filed under: uncultured bacterium
Lineage: Bacteria
Description: partial 16S ribosomal RNA
Rfam family: Bacterial small subunit ribosomal RNA
Source: RNAcentral
UGCGUAGGUGGUUUCUUAAGUCAGAGGUGAAAGGCUACGGCUCAACCGUAGUAAGCCUUUGAAACUGGGAAACUUGAGUGCAGGAGAGGAGAGUGGAAUUCCUAGUGUAGCGGUGAAAUGCGUAGAUAUUAGGAGGAACACCAGUUGCGAAGGCGGCUUUCUGGACUGUAACUGACACUGAGGCACGAAAGCGUGGGGAGCAAACA